This 2955-nucleotide long non-coding RNA is filed under the name Homo sapiens (human). Its description in RNAcentral is "non-protein coding LINC00562:7". Lineage: Eukaryota; Metazoa; Chordata; Mammalia; Primates; Hominidae. The record is from RNAcentral.
AAUUGAACUUUCCAUUUUCCUAACUUUCAACUUGCAAUUGAAUGACACUGAUUCUACUAGGAAAAAAGUAAAAGCUAUACUAUUUGAUGCCAGAUGUAUGACUGUGGGCUGAUGAGGAAGAACUGGAAACAAAUGACAGGUGAUUCACUGCUUUGUGUCUGGUGUGCCAUGACUCUCUUGAAGGGGGGCAGUGUUGAUCUGAAUCUUUUUGUCUAAUGCUUUUUCUUCCUCUGGGAGGGAUGCUGAAGAGGGGCAGCUGAAGGAGCAGUCUUAAGCAAAUUGGUCAUGGCUUUCUUAAAUAUUGUGAUUCGAUUGAUAUGGAACAUUUUUUCAGUCUGUGAGAGACUUUUCAUUAUGGACUAGCUCAUAAAAAACCGUAGAUUUAAUUUGCCCAGGCUGUUGGUUCUCUUGUGUUUGUUAUCAUACGUCAGCAUGAAACCUUUGGCCUUUGUGGAAGCCUUGUGGAGACCACUGAACAGACUUGGAGCCAUAUCUGACUCGCCUGCCAGCAUUCCUGAUGUUCAGUGCCUGUUAUUGCCCCUCUCCAUGGCAUUCUCCUCUGUGGUUAUGUGAAAGGAAAAUAAAUCACUAAGCCAAGGGAAAAAUCAAACUGGGAGCUAUGUCAGGCAAACCUGCCUCCCAUUUUAUUCCUAAAUAACAUAGCUACAUACCUCCCUCGCAAUUUGCCACAGAUCCUCGUCCACAAGGAAAUUCACUGUGGACAAAGGACAGACAGAACUCAAAGUCAUCCCUCUGAGACUCACCUGAGACAAAUGCAUAUCUGAUUGCUUCCUUUUUUAUCUUGGUAGCAAGGUAGCAAGACUUUUCCAAUGCAGGAAGCUUCAGUGCUUUCAUUUAUAUUCUGAUGUAAGUUAUCUUAUUGCAGACCGGUAACAAACACUGUCUUCACAGCCAUUUGAGCCUUAGGUAUGAAUGGAGCAGCUUUGGGUGGAGGGAUAUCUCCAUGACUGGGUGGGAAAAGGUCCAGAAAGACAACAUUGGAGUCACCAAAUACUAACUGUUCACUAGGCUUGGCUGUUAUAAAAGCUGCCAAAAUUCAUGCUUAUGGUUUGACUGGAUUUCUUUUCUCUGCUUAGUAUGCCCUUCAGUAGAAGUGCCAAAAAAAAAAAAAAAAAGACAAACCCAGUUAUAUAGCCCAAAGAAGAGGAUUAAGUUAGUUAUCUGCAGCCUCUGGAUUGACUGUGAAGUCUGUUUGAAAAUGGGAGUGUUGGCCAGUAAAAUGUUUCCCUAAAAAACUCGAAGCUGAGGCCGGGCGCAGUGUCUCACGCCUGUAAUCCCAGCACUUUGGGAGGCUGAAGCGGGUGGAUCAUGAGGUCAGGAGAUCGAGUUUUUUUUUUUUUUUGUAUUUUUUUGUAGAGACAGGAUCUUGCUAUAUUGCCCAGGCUGGUCUAGAACUCCUGAGUUCAAGCCAUCCUCCUGUCUCAGCAUCCCGAAAUGCUGGGAUUACAGGUGUAAGCCACAGUGCCCAGCCUCAUGUUCUUCAUACUCUAUUACUACCCACCUCCUCCAUACCUUGCUGGUCUUAAAGUGGAAGUGAUGUUAGGCUUUAGAAUUUCUGACAUCAGAUAGUUGUUGCUGGAAGAAUAGUGAGUUCAAUCUACAAAGGAUCCUUUUCUGCAUGUUAGGAGAACUAGAUCGGAGGGCAGUUCCUGGUGGCGCCCACUGUGCCUUACCACUCCUGGGAUUCGUUUCACUUAUUCCUCUUCCCUGCUUCCCUUCAUUUCCCUGCCUUUCUUUUCUAUUCUUUGUUUUUCUUUUUGCUUUUCUCUUCUGCUAAUACAUAGGUUUUACUCUCAUGGUCUGAGCUCUGACUUCAGAGCUAAAGCAUUCUUUGUCAUUGGCACGAGCAGUGGCCAGACUCCAAGUACCUCUGAGUCUGCAGAGGAGGUGCAAUAAGCAUACCCAUUAAGCCACCAAAUUGAAAAGUAUUUGGAGGAAAUUGCUCCAGCAGUAGAUUCUAUGCUCCAUGUUAGGGGGCAGUGAGAAAAUCCCACAUAAAGUAUAAUAUACAACUUAGUAAACUACAGUAAAGCUGGAGGGAGUUUUGGUUUAGGACAUAGAUACGUGUUCUGGGACUCAGUGUUAGAAGCUGUCUGUCUGUAAGAAUCUUGCUGUCUCUGCCUCAUGAAAACAAUUGCAGUGAUGAGAACCAGUUACUAAUGGCAUACAUCACACAUUUCAGAGUCCUGGGGAUCAGAUACCCUAAUUGGGUCUCACAGGUGUGUUAGCCAGACAAAACCAGUAGGAUAUAGGUAUAUAUAAAAGGGAGUUAAUUAGGGAGAAUUGGCUCACACGAUUACAAGGGGAAAUCUCACAAUAGGCUGUCUGCCUGCUGGGGAAAGAAAAAAGCCAGUAGCAUGACUUUUGUUUUGAAUAAAAUAUGGGUGUAUAACUCAGGAGAAGGUUCAGAGUUAAAGCUGUAGAUUUGGGAGCUAAGGUCUCCAGAAUGAAGCAGGAUACAGAGUUUAUGGUUUACUCAUUAGUUAGUCAUGUGCCAGUCAAUCUGAUGAACCAGGGGAUUCUCCACUUUAGCCACACAUUAGAGUCAUCUAGGAAGCUUUAGAAAAUGGUGAUGCUUGUGACUUACACCCAAAGAUUCUGAUUUAAUUGGUCUGAAAUGUAGACUGGGCAUUGGGACUUUUGAAAGCUCCCCAGGGGUGAUUUUAAUUUGGAGACAAGAUUGAGAGCCACUGUUGAUCAACACACACACACACACACACACACACACACACACACAGUGAAAUGUUGAUAAGCCGAGGUAUAGAUGAGAAUCCCAAACUGAGACAGCUUAAGAAAUGUCCAGAGUCUUGUAACAAGUGAAAAUGUCAUAUGUCAUGAGGUCAUGUUGGAAAACCUUAAAGAGGAUAAAAGAUCUUCCACAAGCAACAGUUCCCCAUCUGCUGUGAUUAUAAGUUUUCUGAGGCCUCCUCAGCC